Chenopodium quinoa (quinoa) is the source of this 407-nucleotide long non-coding RNA. RefSeq lists it as uncharacterized. Lineage: Eukaryota; Viridiplantae; Streptophyta; Magnoliopsida; Caryophyllales; Amaranthaceae. The transcript is spliced from 2 exons. The record is from RefSeq and is a predicted model, not a curated record.
GCUAAUAACUCAAAACAAAUUUCUCAAAUCCAAAACAGAUAGACCCAUUAUUAGAAUGGCGUCUCCCAAAUAUAUGAAGCUAUUAAUAUUUGGGUUACUACUUAUAAUCAUGGCAUCUAAUUUGGCAAUAGGGCAGGGCUGCACCAUGAAAGGUUAUCGAUGUGGUAGUAAUAUAAGUCCAUGUUGCAACGGAUUGUAUUGUAGCGGCAGAGCUAACGGUCGUUGUUGUUCACCGGUGUGGUUGUUUCCAGAUGACUGCUCAAAAUAGCCAAUGAAACAAGUGGGUGAAUGGGAGAUGUAUCAUAUAAUAUGCGUGUAUCUCGUGCUUCAAAUUGUAUGUUUUAUUUCUGUCUUAUUAGUCAUGAAUGUUGAGACAUGAGUACUAAUAAAUGGGCCUUUCUUUAAUA